CCCAGGGGUGAUAGAACGUUGAAUACACCAGUUCCAAAUUGAUCACUGAAGUUAAGCUACGUUGUGCGUGUUUGGUAUCCAGAUGACCGACCAUUGGCAUUGGGCAAUUGCAAGCUGCUGGAU
This 123-nucleotide ribosomal RNA is filed under the name Diaphorina citri (Asian citrus psyllid). The record is from RNAcentral. Lineage: Eukaryota; Metazoa; Arthropoda; Insecta; Hemiptera; Psyllidae.